Molecule: long non-coding RNA, 831 nt
Filed under: Homo sapiens (human)
Lineage: Eukaryota; Metazoa; Chordata; Mammalia; Primates; Hominidae
Description: HSALNT0389165
Source: RNAcentral
GCAAAGCUACUAUUUACUGAGCAUUUCCCAUAAGGUCAAAAGAACCACUUGGAACACUCAUUCAGCAUACAGAUUCUGAGCCCCUCCCUGAAGAUCUGAUUCACUAGGCUUGGUGUAAAGUCCUGGAACCCAUAGAUUUAACAGGAGCCCUCCACUGGCAUAUAUUAUGGGAAAUAGUUUGGGAAGUAGUGCUUUACAUGAUUUAUGUCAAGUAAUUAUUACAAUUGCUCUCUGAAGCCGCUACCAUGAUUAUCUCAAUUUUACAGAUGAAGAAACCAGCUCAGAGUAUAAGAUAUGGUAUACCUAAGUCAAAUAGUUAAUAAACAGGAGCGCUGCUGACUCUGGCACCCAGGACUGCUUGUCUUCAAAGCCAGGUAGGUGCAAAACCAUUUUACUGUUCUGGUUGGUAGGCAUGGUUGAUCAACAGCUGCAUAGGUUAGCUGGCUGGCUAUUUCCACAUACGCCCUCACUGGGUUAGGGCAUGGGAAGUUGCUUGCAGGGAGUGAGGCAUAGAGGGGAAGAAUGGGAGGUCUGAAGUCUUCUUGGUGAGAUAAUUUAUGGACUCCGAGCUCAAACAGUGCUGCUUUGGGGCCCAGGAGACAAAAUGUGACACCGACAUAGAUCUGGGGCUCUAGAUAGUGGUGAUAUUGAGAGCAUCAGGAGAUGGUACCCUCCGAAGAUCACUGGUGAUUUCAGAAGGGGCAUCUAAGAAUCUCCCUCCGAUGCUACCAGGGCUGUGACAUGGGACAGGGCACCUGAAAUAGGAGAGGGAGAAUAUGAUGGAUGUUGUGUGGUGAUUGUAAAUAAGUGGGUUGUUUUAAGAGCAUAUAA